RNAcentral lists this ribosomal RNA (129 nucleotides) under Salmonella enterica subsp. enterica serovar Infantis str. 119944. RNAcentral's name for it is "partial 23S ribosomal RNA". It matches the Rfam family "Bacterial large subunit ribosomal RNA", at positions 2804 to 2925 of the family's 2925-position model. The record is from RNAcentral. Lineage: Bacteria; Pseudomonadati; Pseudomonadota; Gammaproteobacteria; Enterobacterales; Enterobacteriaceae.
AUGAGUUCUCCCUGAGACUUAAAGUCUCCUGAAGGAACGUUGAAGACGACGACGUUGAUAGGCCGGGUGUGUAAGCGCAGCGAUGCGUUGAGCUAACCGGUACUAAUGAACCGUGAGGCUUAACCUUAC